Helianthus annuus (common sunflower) is the source of this 1521-nucleotide long non-coding RNA. RefSeq lists it as uncharacterized. The record is from RefSeq and is a predicted model, not a curated record. The transcript has 8 exons. Lineage: Eukaryota; Viridiplantae; Streptophyta; Magnoliopsida; Asterales; Asteraceae.
UAAUCGGGGUACAUUUGGGGUUGACUGGUAUGAGUCAAAGUGGAGGAAUUUAUGGAGGAUGAUGUAAUAUGGGGUUGACUGAUAGAGACGUCUGAAACCACCGAUGUUGUUCACUGGUGUGCAUAAAAGACACUAAAAAAAUUGCUAAGACACGAAUAUGAUGCAAACUUUCAACCAACACCAAAUUUCUGAAGAAAGAAAAGAUACUUAAUAGUGAAACACAGAGUUGAAAACAAGUUUUAAUUCAUUUGUGUUUCUUUGUUUAAACAGAGGUGGAAGCACAUUGAUGGUGGCGAGCAACUAACUCGCAAUAGGAAUUUUUUUUUCUGUUGUUCCUGUAGCGUUUUAGAAAAACAAACUUUUGGACGAAAUUGGGGACCAAAAUGCCAUUUCUUUCUCUCUUUUUGAUUCCUGACCUAUGAUACGUGAUUGACACCAAGUAUGAGAGAUACUCUCAGAAAAAGGGUUGGAUAUUUGAGGUGGUGUAAGUCACAGAUUCAAAUAUGAAAGGAUUCAAGGUCAAUCUUCUUUUUCUUAUUAUUUUUAUUUUAUUUUUGCUAAUGGGAGGAUUUUAUUUGAUCAUUUAACAAAGAGUCAUGCGUGCCGAGUGUAUUUAAUUUGGCAGGAAGCGAGUGCUGCAAUAUCCGGGGCAGAUGUCUACGGAAAACUAAAAUUCGAGAGCGGAGUUCAUAGGGUGCAGCAAGUUUCCAUCACGGAGAAAUCAGGACGUGUUCAUACAAGUGUUGUGUAUGUUGCUAUCCUUCCCCAAGCAAAUGGGGUGAUUGGUGACUUCCUAAAAUAUUCUCAAGAAACAGUUCAAGAUCCAAGGUUGUUUCAGAAAGUUCAAGGGCCUUUAGAUGCUGACCUUGAUAAUUUUGUGGCCCCACUAAUCAGAUUCAGAUGAGUUUUGCAUCUAGAAAACCUUCACAAAGUGAAUCAUCUGCCACUGCACCUGUAAUAUCAAGUGGUUUUGAUGUAUGUGACGGCCCCACCAACUCAGGCCAAGCACCUACUAAAGGUACAGAUACAAAGGAACAAAUGCAUGAUAAUCUUCAACAGGACCGCAAGUGGACAGCAGGGAUCCUACAAAGAAAUGCAGGGUGGAACGAUCACAGAAAAUGGCAGAAGCAAAGGGAAGAACUCAAACCCCUGCAACUUUAUCAGACAUGCAGUCUAUGCUGAAGCGAUGUGAAAAUCUUGAGAAGGAAGUGCGAUCGCUUAAACUUAAUUUGGCUUUCAUGAAUAGGAAGGAUUCUGAACAAACUAAGCAGGUCGAAGAACUCCAAAAGCAGAACGAGAAGAUGAGAGAUGAAAAGGAAAGCCUUUUAGAAGAGAUCGAGAGGAUUUAAUCUGAACCAGAUAAGAUGUGAUAGAAAUGUUGUUAGGAUUCCUAUCUAACAUCUAUGCACAACUAAUAUUUUCAUUUACUAUAUGAUUCGAAACUCAACAAACUUUAGAUGUCUUACCUUAUUUUUAGUUUAAUUUUUUAAAGUUAGAUUGAAUCUAACUUCGUUUGAUACA